AAGAAGUUUUGCUUUGGCUGAAUGUUUCGGAUCAACUCCUCAUAUUUGUGAUUCAAAUGUUUAUGAGGCUAGUGUUAAAUGUUUUUGUUGUAUAAGUACACUUUGUGCCUAAUUAAAUGUCGAUGGUAAAUAUGAACUUAUGUGUUUUAUGGAGGUUUUAAAAGACUUCUUAUGUUUAGGAUUUUGGAAUGAUAAGUUUAAUUCGUAUAAUGAUACGACCUCGUGAUCAAUGUUAGUUUUGUGAUUGUAUAAAUUCCCACACUUAUGGAUUUUAUGAUGUGGUUUCGUAUAGAUGAGUUGGCUUUGGAUUUUAUGAGUCUUUGAGUGUUGUGUCGUAUGAUUAUAACUACAAAGUCUUAUGAAUUGUGGA
RNAcentral lists this long non-coding RNA (370 nucleotides) under Musa acuminata (dwarf banana). RNAcentral's name for it is "long non-coding RNA (MACU_LNC004934)". Lineage: Eukaryota; Viridiplantae; Streptophyta; Magnoliopsida; Zingiberales; Musaceae. The record is from RNAcentral.